ACCUGUGCUCUCACUGGGUCCCUGGAAACUUCUAUGGCCUGUGGGGAGAGGUGGCAUGGUGGACAGAGAAUGGGUUGGUGGUUGUCUGUGCACAGAAACAUGAGGCCCUCAGAGGGCAGAGGCCAGCAUCUUCCAUGGACCCCCAGUGCCUUCUUGAGACCCAACCAGCUGCCCAGCUAUGGGUUCCAUCCUGCCAGAAAGGUGAGCCUCCACAGGCCCUUGAAGGGAAGGCUCCUCUGUCCACUAACCUGCGGCAGGCUCCAACGGUCAGGACAGCAGGCUCCAACAGUCAAGAUCAAGCCAGAACCUCCAGCUUAGAAGCACCAUUGGGACCUGAGUCAGGACUGGCCACCCUGCCCAGCUGAACCAGAGCCCCAAGUGUAGCCCCCUGAGUGUCUACUAACCAUGUGUCACCAUAAAAGUGGACACUUAUUAAACUCUUAUUGUGUGCAUA
This is a long non-coding RNA of Nannospalax galili (Upper Galilee mountains blind mole rat), 454 nucleotides long. RefSeq lists it as uncharacterized. The transcript is spliced from 2 exons. NCBI's taxonomy places the organism in Eukaryota, Metazoa, Chordata, Mammalia, Rodentia, Spalacidae. The record is from RefSeq and is a predicted model, not a curated record.